AAAGUUCCCUUCGGGGGGCGAGUAGAGUGGCGUCCGGGUGAGUAACACGUAGGUAAUCUACCUUUGGGUGGGGAAUAACAAUCGGAAACGGUUGCUAAUACCGCAUAAUGCAGCGGCACCGCAUGGUGACAGUUGUUAAAGCGGGGGAUCGCAAGACCUCGCGCCUAAAGAGGAGCCUGUGGCGGAUUAGCUAGUUGGCAGGGUAACGGCCUACCAAGGCAACGAUCCGUAGCCGGCCUGAGAGGGCGGUCGGCCACACUGACACUGAAAUACGGGUCAGACUCCUACGGGAGGCAGCAGUCGGGAAUUUUGGGCAAUGGGCGCAAGCCUGACCCAGCAACGCCGCGUGAAGGAUGAAAUCCCUCGGGAUGUAAACUUCGCAAGAACGGGAAGAAUAAGUGGGGGCAAAUACCCUCCAUGAUGACGGUACCGUUUGUAAGCUCCGGCUAACUCCGUGCCAGCAGCCGCGGUAAUACGGGGGGAGCAAGCGUUGUUCGGAUUUACUGGGCGUAAAGGGCGCGUAGGCGGUCAGUGCAAGUCAGUUGUGAAAUCUCCGGGCUUAACUCGGAAAGGUCAACUGAUACUGCUCGACUAGAGUGCGGAAGGGGCAACUGGAAUUCUUGGUGUAGCGGUGAAAUGCGUAGAUAUCAAGAGGAACACCUGCGGCGAAGGCGGGUUGCUGGGCCGACACUGACGCUGAAGUGCGAAAGCUAGGGGAGCGAACGGGAUUAGAUACCCCGGUAGUCCUAGCCUUAAACGAUGAAUGCUUGGUGUCUGGGGUUAUAAAGUCCCCGGGUGCCGUCGCUAACGCUUUAAGCAUU
RNAcentral lists this ribosomal RNA (821 nucleotides) under uncultured Bacillota bacterium. RNAcentral's name for it is "bacterial SSU rRNA". It matches the Rfam family "Bacterial small subunit ribosomal RNA", at positions 70 to 868 of the family's 1533-position model. Lineage: Bacteria; Bacillati; Bacillota. The record is from RNAcentral.